Cucurbita maxima (winter squash) is the source of this 943-nucleotide long non-coding RNA. RefSeq lists it as uncharacterized. Lineage: Eukaryota; Viridiplantae; Streptophyta; Magnoliopsida; Cucurbitales; Cucurbitaceae. The record is from RefSeq and is a predicted model, not a curated record. The transcript has 2 exons.
GACAUCUUUCCAAUGCCUGUUAAGAAAACAAGGAAGAAAACCAGCUGCUUAGGAAUACCACUUUGCUUUUGCUGGUGUAAAUAUCACAUUUAGGAUCAUGCAAAUGCUCGAUCUAGAUGGAUCAAACCAAGGACUUCUAUCAGAUCAGUGUUCCUUCAGAUGUUGUCAGGUACAUAUCUAAACUUAAUCCAGGAACAUAUCAAAUACGAAGUUGUGCAUGAAUGCAAGAAACACAAUUUUCUGAUAACAGAAAAUAAUUCCAUGUUGGAAUGCCCAAGCUACGUGAUGUUCUUUAUAUCAUUACAAAUUUAUCAGUACAGGUAGGUGAUUUAAUGUUGUGGCAUUGAUCAUGUAGGUACUAUUAUGGAUUUUAGUACUGGGAAAUAGGAUCUGAAGAAAUUAGUUUUAUAAUUGCUUCUAUAUUUCACUUCCCCUCACGAUCACAAGUUCAUUCUUCAGCACAAGAAUGAACCAAUAUUUUCCUAUUGUUGAGAAGUUUGAUUCAAAUCUGAAGAUUUCUUGCUUGAUUUUCUAUGGUUAACAAUUAUUAUUUUGCCAACAUAAAUAUCUCAUUGGUUAAAUUAGUGUUCCUACCUAUUUUCUUUAAGAUGUGGGAUGCUAUAUUACAAAACAGCAAUCAUUGUCCUGGAAACCCUAUUUUGGUUUCUCAACUUUCAAAAUAUUCAUGUCAUUAGAAUUUUUAGAUUUAUUCUAUAUUGGUUUUGAGCUUUUAAAAUGUUUAAUUUAGCCCUUGAGAUUUCAAAAAAAGAAUAAUUUUGAUCCUUACCUUCAUUUUGUUUUUAACAAAUGAGUGAUAUAGGUUUGAGUGAUAAAGGUUUAGUAUAGUAUGUAUGAGUCAAGAACAAGUAUUUGACAAGUUGAUAUUAGAUGGAAAGAUAAUACGGUGAUGACCAAAAUAAACAUUUUGAAAGUUUGACCAAAA